CCUACGGGUGGCUGCAGUGGGGAAUAUUGGACAAUGGGCGAAAGCCUGAUCCAGCCAUGCCGCGUGUGUGAAGAAGGCCUUCGGGUUGUAAAGCACUUUCAGUGGGGAAGAAAGCCUUGGGGCUAAUACCCUCGAGGAAGGACAUCACCCACAGAAGAAGCACCGGCUGACUCCGUGCCAGCAGCCGCGGUAAUACGGAGGGUGCGAGCGUUAAUCGGAAUUACUGGGCGUAAAGCGCGCGUAGGCGGUCUGAUAAGCCGGUUGUGAAAGCCCCGGGCUCAACCUGGGAACGGCAUCCGGAACUGUCAGGCUAGAGUGCAGGAGAGGAAGGUAGAAUUCCCGGUGUAGCGGUGAAAUGCGUAGAGAUCGGGAGGAAUACCAGUGGCGAAGGCGGCCUUCUGGACUGACACUGACGCUGAGGUGCGAAAGCGUGGGUAGCAAACAGGAUUAGAUACCCGUGUAGUC
Molecule: ribosomal RNA, 465 nt
Filed under: Vreelandella stevensii
Lineage: Bacteria; Pseudomonadati; Pseudomonadota; Gammaproteobacteria; Oceanospirillales; Halomonadaceae
Description: partial 16S ribosomal RNA
Rfam family: Bacterial small subunit ribosomal RNA
Source: RNAcentral